This 501-nucleotide ribosomal RNA is filed under the name uncultured bacterium. RNAcentral describes it as "bacterial SSU rRNA". It matches the Rfam family "Bacterial small subunit ribosomal RNA", at positions 29 to 506 of the family's 1533-position model. The record is from RNAcentral.
AACGAACGCUGGCGGCGUGCUUAACACAUGCAAGUCGAACGGGUUCAGAAAUCAGCUAUCAGUCAUCAGUUAUAAGGGAUAGAUAUUCAUUUUAAUUGAUUGCUGAUCGCUGGUUUCUGUUCUACGUGGCAGACGGGUGAGUAAUAUAUGGGAACAUACCCUUCAGUUCGGAAUAACUACUGGAAACGGUGGCUAAUACCGGAUACGUCCGAGAGGAGAAAGAUUUAUUGCUGAAGGAGUGGCCCAUACCCCAUUAGAUAGUUGGUGAGGUAAAGGCUUACCAAGUCUAUGAUGGGUAGCUGGUUUGAGAGGAUGAUCAGCCACACUGGAACUGAGACACGGUCCAGACUCCUACGGGAGGCAGCAGUGGGGAAUAUUGGACAAUGGGGGCAACCCUGAUCCAGCGACGCCGCGUGGGUGAUGAAGGUCUUCGGAUUGUAAAGCCCUUUUCUCGGGGACGAUAAUGACGGUACUCGAGGAAUAAGUCCCGGCUAACUUCGU